AAAAAACAAAUAAGAGGAGAAGGAGCGAGGCAUGGACUACCUCGAAAAGCUCUGGCAGGUGCAAGUGACCAUCUUACAUCCAGCCUGGGAUGACUUGUGCCAGGCAAUUUCAGAAAGAGGAGAAAAAAGGUUACUUUGGUGGCUGAGCUGUUCAUUGCAAGUUGCCCAUCCGGCUCCAGUAGAGUUAACAGCUUUCUUAAGUCCAAACAAAAUUCGGAAAUUUUGCUCCUGAAGAAAGCAUGUGAGCCUGUCCCAGAAGUGGGCUGCUCUCUUCCUUUUAUGAAUCAGUCUCCAAGAUAUGCUCACAUUCCUGAGAAACAAGCCUGGAAUAACACGGCUGGCUUUUGGGUGCAAUACACUGAUUAUGAGGAAGCAACAGUCUACCGUGUAUGAAUAGCUUUUAUGUUGAAAUAGGUCAGCACUACAGCAUUUGUUGAAAAAUGGCUUUUUAAUGUGCUUUAUGUGCUGUCAGGGCAUAAUGAAUGCAAACCGUAGAACUGGCUUCGUAGAAUGAUAUUUUAUUUUUUUGGUUUAUCGACCAGACGCAAUGAAUCUCAGAUCAAUUAGUUUUGCUUUGAAGUUUGCUCUUGAUCCAGAUCUUCAAUAAAAAGGAAGUUUCCAAA
Rhea pennata is the source of this 623-nucleotide long non-coding RNA. RefSeq lists it as uncharacterized. The transcript has 2 exons. Lineage: Eukaryota; Metazoa; Chordata; Aves; Rheiformes; Rheidae. The record is from RefSeq and is a predicted model, not a curated record.